GGAAGUGAAGAGCAAAGAAAUGUAGGAGUGCAGAUACACCGUUCCUUGAAGGUGACGUCACAGGUAGAUAGGGUGGUCAAAAAGGCCUUUGGAACAUUGGCCUU
Amblyraja radiata (thorny skate) is the source of this 104-nucleotide long non-coding RNA. RefSeq lists it as uncharacterized. The transcript is spliced from 3 exons. Lineage: Eukaryota; Metazoa; Chordata; Chondrichthyes; Rajiformes; Rajidae. The record is from RefSeq and is a predicted model, not a curated record.